This 497-nucleotide ribosomal RNA is filed under the name uncultured bacterium. RNAcentral's name for it is "partial 16S ribosomal RNA". It matches the Rfam family "Bacterial small subunit ribosomal RNA", at positions 28 to 507 of the family's 1533-position model. The record is from RNAcentral.
GAUGAACGCUGGCGGCGUGCCUAAUACAUGCCAGUCGAGCGAACAGAUGAGGAGCUUGCUCCUCUGACGUUAGCGGCGGACGGGUGAGUAACACGUGGAUAACCUACCUAUAAGACUGGGAUAACUUCGGGAAACCGGAGCUAAUACCGGAUAAUAUAUUGAACCGCAUGGUUCAAUAGUGAAAGACGGUUUUGCUGUCACUUAUAGGUGGAUCCGCGCCGCAUUAGCUAGUUGGUAAGGUAACGGCUUACCAAGGCAACGAUGCGUAGCCGACCUGAGAGGGUGAUCGGCCACACUGGAACUGAGACACGGUCCAGACUCCUACGGGAGGCAGCAGUAGGGAAUCUUCCGCAAUGGGCGAAAGCCUGACGGAGCAACGCCGCGUGAGUGAUGAAGGUCUUCGGAUCGUAAAACUCUGUUAUUAGGGAAGAACAAAUGUGUAAGUAACUAUGCACGUCUUGACGGUACCUAAUCAGAAAGCCACGGCUAACUACGUG